This 779-nucleotide ribosomal RNA is filed under the name Escherichia coli. RNAcentral's name for it is "partial 23S ribosomal RNA". It matches the Rfam family "Bacterial large subunit ribosomal RNA", at positions 416 to 1194 of the family's 2925-position model. The record is from RNAcentral. Lineage: Bacteria; Pseudomonadati; Pseudomonadota; Gammaproteobacteria; Enterobacterales; Enterobacteriaceae.
GGCGGGACACGUGGUAUCCUGUCUGAAUAUGGGGGGACCAUCCUCCAAGGCUAAAUACUCCUGACUGACCGAUAGUGAACCAGUACCGUGAGGGAAAGGCGAAAAGAACCCCGGCGAGGGGAGUGAAAAAGAACCUGAAACCGUGUACGUACAAGCAGUGGGAGCACAGAGCAAUCUGUGUGACUGCGUACCUUUUGUAUAAUGGGUCAGCGACUUAUAUUCUGUAGCAAGGUUAACCGAAUAGGGGAGCCGAAGGGAAACCGAGUCUUAACUGGGCGUUAAGUUGCAGGGUAUAGACCCGAAACCCGGUGAUCUAGCCAUGGGCAGGUUGAAGGUUGGGUAACACUAACUGGAGGACCGAACCGACUAAUGUUGAAAAAUUAGCGGAUGACUUGUGGCUGGGGGUGAAAGGCCAAUCAAACCGGGAGAUAGCUGGUUCUCCCCGAAAGCUAUUUAGGUAGCGCCUCGUGAAUUCAUCUCCGGGGGUAGAGCACUGUUUCGGCAAGGGGGUCAUCCCGACUUACCAACCCGAUGCAAACUGCGAAUACCGGAGAAUGUUAUCACGGGAGACACACGGCGGGUGCUAACGUCCGUCGUGAAGAGGGAAACAACCCAGACCGCCAGCUAAGGUCCCAAAGUCAUGGUUAAGUGGGAAACGAUGUGGGAAGGCCCAGACAGCCAGGAUGUUGGCUUAGAAGCAGCCAUCAUUUAAAGAAAGCGUAAUAGCUCACUGGUCGAGUCGGCCUGCGCGGAAGAUGUAACGGGGCUAAACCAUGCAC